Long non-coding RNA from Octopus bimaculoides (California two-spot octopus), 942 nucleotides. The record is from RefSeq and is a predicted model, not a curated record. NCBI's taxonomy places the organism in Eukaryota, Metazoa, Mollusca, Cephalopoda, Octopoda, Octopodidae.
UGUGUGUCUGUGAAGAUAGAUAGAUUAAAUUAUAUCCAAAAUUAAAUAUUUCACUUUGCUGUUUUAUUGCAGGAUACAGACGAGUAUAUACACACCCAUUUUGCCUUUUGCCUCAUCUCCGUACUGUUGCUGUUAAUUGUUGUGAUCCUUUUGACCUUCCUUAUAUUCGGCGUCAACCGUUAUCGAAAACUCGCUGCCAUAACAAAAGAGAGGAUGAACGCAAGCAGCACGCGCAACACCGGUUACCCGCCAAACUCUUGGAUGUAAAAACCACAUACCUACUAACCAACAAAUAUCAAACCACAUACCUACUAACCAACAAAUAUCAAACCGCAUACCCCAGUCAUUUAGUUGAAUUUUCUUUCUGUAAUAUAUACAUAGAUGUAUGUAAUAAAUGUGAGUGCGUGUGUGUAUGGAUGUCCUUGUAAGUACGAAUAUAUAUAAAGAAAAAACGCAGCAUCAACACAAGGUUUGAGACUUACAGUGUUUAAGAAAACAUUUAACUGGAUUUAUUUAUUCCCUUUUUUGUUUCAUUUUAAUAGUAUGUAUGUAUAUAUAUGUAUAAACAAGUAUAUAUGUAUAUAUAAUUAUUUAUAUAUAGAUAUAUAUAUAUAUAAUUCUUUGAGAAGACUUAGUAUUGACAUGACUUUCAAGUUUCGAUCAGGCAAGCCAUUAUUGGGCAGUCCCAUCCUGGCUUGGCUGGCUGAAAUUUCGAAGUCACUGUCAACACUGUUCUGUUUUAAGGAUAAUAAUUUGUAUUCAUCAAAAGUAUGGAGUAAUUACUUUUUAUCUAAGUGAACAUAAGAAAACAAACAUUUAUAUAUGUGUGUGUGCGUGUGUGUGUGUGCGUGUAUAUAUAUAUAUACAUACAUACAUAUAUGUAUAUAUAUAUAUAUAUAUAUAUAUGUGUGUGUGUGUGUGUGUGUGUGUGUGUGUGUGUGU